UACGUAGGAGGCGAGCGUUGUCCGGAGUUACUGGGCGUAAAGGGUGCGCAGGCGGCGGUUCGCGUGGAUAGAUGAAAUCUCCUGGCUUACCUGGGAGGAUGGUAUCCAGACGGGAUCGCUUGAGGGUCGGAGAGGGGCGUGGAAUUCCGGGUGGAGCGGUGAAAUGCGUAGAUAUCGAGAGGAACACCAGUGGCGAAGGCGAGUCCCUGGACGACUCCUGACACUGAGGCACGAAAGCUAGGGGAGCAAACAGG
RNAcentral lists this ribosomal RNA (254 nucleotides) under uncultured bacterium. RNAcentral's name for it is "partial 16S ribosomal RNA". It matches the Rfam family "Bacterial small subunit ribosomal RNA", at positions 524 to 776 of the family's 1533-position model. The record is from RNAcentral.